RNAcentral lists this small RNA (119 nucleotides) under Bacteroides uniformis. RNAcentral's name for it is "partial 6S RNA". It matches the Rfam family "6S / SsrS RNA", at positions 72 to 187 of the family's 187-position model. From Rfam's summary of the family: E. coli 6S RNA was the first non coding RNA to be sequenced, but its function was unknown until recently. Lineage: Bacteria; Pseudomonadati; Bacteroidota; Bacteroidia; Bacteroidales; Bacteroidaceae. The record is from RNAcentral.
CUAGUGUGGUGUUGAAUGCCUAGCUUUUAUCACCUAGGACUCCUAAAACACUAGAUACGAUGCCCACCUGCUAUUUUAGCGGGUUUAUAUCCUAACACCUACGGUAUUUUGGAUAAACA